GUGCGAUCGCCCGCGAGGGCGGUCACGAAGCCCUGACGAGUAGGAGGGUCGCGGCGGUGAGCGCAGAAGGGCUGGCCGCGAGGCCGUCUGGAGCCGCCGUCGGUGCAGAUCUUGGUGGUAGUAGCAAAUACUCCAGCGAGGCCCUGGAGGACUGACGUGGAGAAGGGUUUCGUGUGAACAGCCGUUGCACACGAGUCAGUCGAUCCUAAGCCCUAGGCGAAAGCCGAUGUCGAUGCGGUGUAGUUUUUACCAAAUAUAUAUAUAUAUUAUUUAUAUGUACGUAUAGAGCGAGAACACACCCGUCGGGCGAAAGGGAAUCCGGUUCCUAU
This 329-nucleotide ribosomal RNA is filed under the name Aeoniacalles aeonii. RNAcentral's name for it is "eukaryotic LSU rRNA". It matches the Rfam family "Eukaryotic large subunit ribosomal RNA", at positions 1342 to 1616 of the family's 3401-position model. Lineage: Eukaryota; Metazoa; Arthropoda; Insecta; Coleoptera; Curculionidae. RNAcentral also lists the same sequence under 1 other name. The record is from RNAcentral.